AAGUGGAACACUCACUUCCGGCUUUCAAUCCUUUGGGAGCCGUUUUUUUCUGGAGCCAAGGCGUUCAAGAUCCAAGGUAUGGCUGUAUAGUACUGCUUUAUCUCCUUGACAUCUGAUAAUAAUAAUAAUAAUUUAUUAUUUAUACCCCAUCCAUCUGGCUGGGUUUCCCCAGCCACUCUGGGCCGUUUACAGUAUAUAUAAAAACAUAGUAGAACGUCAAACUUUAAAAACUUCCCGAUACAGGGCCACCUUCAAAUGUCUUCUAAACGUUGUGUAGUUCUUUAUCUCCUUGAUAUCUGAUAACAAUAAUAAUUGAUAGGUGUGUGAGGGGCUUCAGCCCCCUCAAACUUUGUGGGUAGGCAGCUGAGACACACACCCAAGAAUAUUGAGGUGGCCGCUAUCCCCCACAACCCCCCAUAGCUGUGGAAUGCUUGCGCUCCAGGCCGGGAUGGGAUGCACAGAGGGGUGCAUGACAUUGUAUGUAUGAUGCCACACAAUGUUGGGGGGGCCCAAUGUGGGGAGCAAGUCAACACCCCUGGAUCUGGUGUAAAUUUACAGCUGCUUAAAUUACACCGGCUGGCUUUACACCAGCUCCUUCUGCAGAGGAAGGAAAAUAAAAUAUCAUCUUGGCUACAGGAUAGCACCAGGGUUGUUGGUUUGUUUCAAUUGACUGGUUCUAAUUAUCUCUCUUGUUGUUGGUAUUUGUACAAUGUACCUGAACUUGUUUCUAAUUUGUAACUGCUCUGGCGGGUAAGAAAUAUUUUUAAUAAACAGAUAAAUGAUUCCGACUUCUCCUUUACAUGCAAAACCCCAGGUUCAGUCUGUAGUUAAAAUGUUCUCACACUAGCCAGACUUGGACAGACCUGGACCUGGGACCCCAGAGAGCUGCCAAGAUUGGUUUGGAUGGACCAGUGAUACGAUAAGGUGACUUCGUGGGUUCUCGAAAAUCUCAGCUUUAUUUUUUAGAACAAGUUGUUUGACCCUUUAAUGUCAAAGAUAGCCUUGAAAAGAAGUGUUUGGGGAAAACCCUGUUGAAGCAUCAUAUGCCAGAGUGGGACGGAAGGGUCAUAUUUCCAGUGGAUUUCAGGCAAAAGCAGAGUUAAUUAUGCAAAAUAGCUUUAAAAAUGUGGAAGAAUGAUUUGCUGAAUUCAGAAUUAUGCAACUUUGCUCUAUUUUUCAUAAUUAAUAGAUAGGUCACUUUAUUUUAGUGCAGAAGUCCGAUUACCUGGGUGCAUAAUUUGAAUGUGAUUAGCAAUGUCAUAACACCACCCCAUCACUGCUGAAUUAAACUACUAUAGAAAGGCAGGGCAAAAUUAGGGUUUUUGCCACAAUCCUCCCAGAAGUGUGAAGCGAUCUAAUACUUCCCUCUGCUUAGUUAAAAUUCUGCUCAGUCACUGUCCUUUCAACCCCUCGGCUCAACUGUUUGAGCAUGCUUGGCAGGUACUAUGACAAAGAAAACCCUGACAAAAUUUCAAUAAAAAAUGACUGAAUUAUAAAGAAGAUAAAGGAAUAAAGUUGUACCUUGUGAUAUAUAUAUUUGAAUGGAGACGGAACAGGUUUCCCAUUUGUAUCACUCAAAUUGCUUUGAGAUAUAUCCAGAGGAGAAGAUCAUCUAUCUGUGGGUUUUUUAUUUUAUUUAGAAAAAUAGAGAAAGCAGACUAUAUUUGAAACCUUUGCUUCAAGAUUUGUCAAACAUAGCAUCGUAAUCUGUAAUAUUUAGAAAGAAACGAUGAAGGGCAUUUUGUGAAAGACCAGAAUAGUGUAAUGGGAGCUUCUCUCCCACAGCAAGUAACGUCCAUAAUGGGCCCCAGACCAGUUCAGAAUUGCAACAGGGGCAAAGGGUUAAAGUCCCCUCUUCCAUAUCCUGGUCCCAAUACAAAAAGGGUACAUCCGCAGCUAUUAUUUACGAACAACAACAACUAUGACAUUACCAUUACUAUUAUUGGAUCGAAGGCAACGCACAAAUAUUAAAAUCCAAGUAAACUUCACAAUCAUUGACAACCAAACUAAAACCAGAGUCCUAAAACUCAAAACAUAACAAUCUGAAUUAUAAAAUACAGCACAUAUCUGAAUUUAUAAUCUUGCCCUAAAUGCCCAUGUGGAAAAAACAAACAUCUUCAAUUAAUGUAUUAGUGAGGAAGACAACCAAAUCUCCAAUGGGAGAGAGUUCCACAGCUGGGGAACCACCACAGAAAAACCCCAUGUCACCACAUGGCAGACAAUAUGCAAUGGUGGAAAUGUGUGCUUUUUAAAUCAUCACACAAUUAAUAAUUUUGGGAAUAAUGUCACAUUCAGGUUCGCCUGAAGAGAAUGAGAUGGGAAGUUCUCAUUGAUUCACUUAUUUUUAAAUACAUCAUAAAUAUAAUUGGACUAGUAAGGUCAGGUUCCACCCAAAAACAAACAAACCGAUAGCAAUAUCCCAAAGUUACAUGCAUCUGACUGCAUAUGGACUAGAAGAUUUGCCAAGCAGUGCUCUCUCUCUCUAGUUAGAACAAGAUGAUACUGAAGUGAACGACUGCAUGGCAGACAGUAGCCCCGUAAAUUGUGUUUAUGUGUCACUCUUUCUUCAUUAAUCUGCAAUGUGUGUGUGUUUGUGUGUGUGGUGCACAUAUACACAUACAAAUGAGAUAGUUAUAUUGGAUAACAAGUAUUAGCAUAAUAAGAAAAAGCAGAUCUCAAGACAGGAACUGGUCUUUUGAACCAGUGUGUGUGUGAGAGUUUAAUCAAUCCCAUCUGACUUGAAUCCUGAACAUCUGUAAUGAAGAAUACUUUUAUGUCUGGCUACUAUUGAUCAAAAAUAAAUAAAUCAAGAAUAAGAUUUAUGUUUUGAGAACAGAGUGGGACGAGGGAAUGGUUGACACAGAAAAAAAGUGACCCUCUUAUUUCCAUUAGCAGAAAUAUAUUUACACUGGGAGUGCUUCUUUUCUCAGCGCUCAUUAAAGAUAUCAGAAACCAGCCAGAGUCACACAGUAUUUCUGCCCAGGUUUUGCAGAUGUCAGAGUCGCUUCUGUGUAUGCAUAUUUGGAUCUUGUAAUGCACAAAAUGGCAGUGGUGGGAUGGGAGCCUCUGGGGGAAAGUAACUAAGCCAUGUCAUAAAGUAGAAAGGCGGGCAGGUGGGUCACUGCUUGCCAUUGCCUGAGCUGCUCUGAACCUGGAGACAAAUAGGGCAGAGCAAAGUACCCAAAGAAGCAGUAUGAGACCCCGGCAAGGAGGAGGCAGGACUCUGAGAAAGCAGAAGGCCAAGACAUGUUUGAGUUCCUGAGAAAGAUUUGUAAGGAGUGGUGCCCUGGAGAAAGGGGGAGAAAGGGGAUGUCGUGAUGUGCUUCUGAAAGCCCUGAAGAUGAAAUCAAGGUCAAAAUGCACCAAGCAGGAGAAGCUGGAAUAGUGUCAUGGCCAAGAAAGUCCAUUCAUUCAACCUUCAUCUCACUAGGUGGCCUUUAACAAGCUGCUAUUGCCUCAAACUCAUUUCCCUAUCUGCAGUGUGGGAGAAGGUAAUAAUAGUGCUCUACCUCUCAAGGAGGGAUGUGGGGGUCUAAACCACAGAGCCAAGGAUUUGCUGAUCAGAAGGUUGGCGGUUCGAAUCCGCGUGGCGGGGUGAGCUCCCGUUGCUCGGUCCCAGCUCCUGCCAACCUAGCAGUUCAAAAGUAUGUCAAAGUGCAAGUAGAUAAAUAGGUACCACUCCGGCGGGAAGGUAAACGGCAUUUCCGUGUGCUGCUCUGGUUUUGCCAGAAGCGACUUAGUCAUGCUGGCCACAUGACCCAGAAGCUGUCUGUGGACAAAAGCCGGUUCCCUCGGCCUAUAGAGCGAGAUGAGCACGCAACCCCAGAGUCAUCCACAACUGGACCUAAUGGGCAGGGGUACCUUUACCUUUACCUCUCAAGGAUCCACUGAAACGGUUACUCAUAUAACAUCAGGAUGUGCUUUGAAUACGCCACAGAUGUACAGUGGUACCUCGGGUUAAGAACUUAAUUCGUUCUGGAGGUCCAUUCUUAGCCUGAAACUGCUCUUAACCUGAGGUACCACUUUAGCUAAUGGGGCCUCCCGCUGCUGCCGCCACACAAUUACUGUUGUCAUCCUGAAGCAAAGUUCUUAACCCGAGGUACUAUUUCUGGGUUAGCGGAGUCUGUAACCUGAAGCGUCUGUAACCCGAGGUACCACUGUAUUCAGAUUGGACCCUAGGCAAUAUAGCCACUGGUUGGAAAUGAUGGAAGGUGAGGUCCAGCAACAGGGCACCACAUUGGAAUACCUAGAGAUGGCCAUUUGGUUUAAAGGUGGAAUACCAGUUUACAUUUUUAAAAGGAGAGAUGAUGCUCUCUCACAGUUGGUUUUUAAAAGAGGUCUAUGAAGCUCAUGUGCUGAGCAACUUGAAGGCCCACAUACAGUUGCAAGUAUGGGCACAGGGGUGGAUUUUGGUCUUUCAAAUUUCAGCGGCGCCCUGUGGGAGGCCCAGUGCGGUGGGGCUGGUCAUGCUGCCCUAAAUCUGCCUCUGUAUCGAGGUAUGCAUGAAACCCUCUGAGAAUUUUUGCUAUCCUCAAAAUCCUUUUGGCUUCCACUGAAACUGCUCAGACACACACACAGGGAAAUAUUUCUCAGGGAGAAGUUUACACAUGACCCUUCUCUUGCACAUGUGAGAUUUCUACAUGCAUGGAGUGUGUGAGUAUUUACUGGAGACACGUUGAAAUGUUUCUUUGCUUCAUUCCCCUGUCUCUACCCCACCUGCAUCCUGAUGCAGUGUUCUCCAAGAAGCGCUUCAUCCCUUGAUGGUUCUGUUUAAAUUUGUGCUCUGAUAUUAUGCCUAUGGAGGAAUCUCCAAAUUCGCUUCAGCCAACAUUUUAGUGAUGUAGACUUGCACACCUGAAAAGGCAUGAGGGAAUCAGUCCCAAGUCAUGGUGAUACAAGUUUUUCAAUGCAGCUGAACAUGCUGGAUAUACUUCUGGCACAACGGAAACAUAAGACAGCACUUGGUGAGGUAAAAUUUACAAUAGUCAGGGGUAAAGUAUGCUUAAAGUAAAGGUAAAGGGACCCCUGACCAUUAGGUCCAGUCGUGACCGACUCCGGGGUUGCGGCGCUCAUCUCGCUUUAUUGGCUGAGGGAGCCAGCGUACAGCUUCCGGGUCAUGUGGCCAGCAUGACUAAGCCGCUUCUGGCUAACCAGAGCAGCGCAUGGAAACGCCGUUUACCUUCCUGCUGGGGCGGUACCUCUUUAUCUACUUGCACUUUGAUGUGCUUUCGAAUUGUUAGGUUGGCAGGAGCAGGGACCGAGCAACGGGAGCUCACCCCAUCGCGGGGAUUCAAACUGCUGACCUUCUGAUCAGCAAGCCCUAGGCUCUGUGGUUUAACUCACAGCGCUUAUGUAUGCUUAAUUUCAAGGGUACCCAAUGCAGUGCACUCCAGAAGUUGUAUCCAUCUAAGUCCUACUUAUACCCACUGAAAUUAAUGGACAUGACUAAGUUAGAAUGAUAAAUUUCAGUGGGUCUGCUCUGAGUAGCACUUCAUUGAAUAAACCUCAUAUAUUUUGGACUACAACCCCAACCAUUGGCAAUGCAGGCUGGGGCAGAUGGAAGUUGUAGUCCAAGAUAUCUGGGAGGUACCAUGUUGGCUUUAAUUUAUGUGUCAUUAUAUCACCAGAAGUCUUCAAAGUGUAGAUAUAUUACAAAAUAAUAAAGCAUAGCAUCGUGCCAAAUACGGUAAACAUUAAUUAAUUGAUAGGUUGAGUUUUUGGAAGACUCCUGUGCGUGAAUUUGUUUUAUGUGUGUAGAUCAGUGCACACUGACCAAUGCACAGUCUUCGCAGUAGGGCUCUGUUCUGAUGGCACGAAGUAGUCACAACAAACCAGUAGAUUCCUAUCUGCUGCAGCCUUCAUCCGCCUUCACAGCUGUCGUAACAUACCGUUUGUUAUCAUCCGCCUGUUCUGCCGUUGAGGACUUCUUGGAUCAUUCUUUGUCUGACUCCUUCCCUUUGACCUUACCACCUUCGGUGACCCUGCUGGGAGUAUGAGAUUCCCAAUGGCUUCACUCACAAGGGGCAUAGGAACGUGCCAAGGGUCAUAGGAACGCACCAUGACAAGCGCACUAAUAUCAGUGUACUGGAAGAAGCAAAGAUCACCAGUGUCAAAGCAAUGAUUCUUCAACAUCAACUUCAUUGGACUGGUCAUGUUGUGCGGAUGCCUGAUGAUCGUCUUCCAAAGCAACGACUCUAUUCCAAACUUAAAAAGGGAAAGUGUAAUGCUGGUGGUCAACAAAAGAGGUUUAAAGACUGUCUCAAGGCAAAUCUUAAAAAACUGUACUAUAAACACCAACAAUUGGGAAACACUGGCCUGUGAGUGCUCCAGUUGGAGAACAGCCUUUACCAAUGGUGUCAUGGGCUUUGAAGACACUCAAACUCAGGACGCAAGGGAGAAACGUGCUAGGAGGAAGGCACCCUUGGCAAAUCCACACCGUGAUCAACUCCCAUCCGGAAACCAAUGUCCCCGCUGUGGAAGGACGUGUGGAUCCAGAAUUGGCUUCCACAGUCACUUACAGACUCAUUGUUUAAACCAUGUUUAUGGAAGACAGUCUUACUAGGCUACAGGUGAUCUCCAAAGAAUUAAUUGAUAAUUACAAAUUAUCAAAACCAAAAAACAAAAAGAAUCAGAUAAUAAUAAUAAUAAUAAUAAUAAUAAUAAUAAUAAUAAUAAUAGAAUGUUGCAUAUUAGCAGCUGAGUGAGCGUAUAUCUGUUCAGUUCUGGUAAUCUACUACAUCUCAAAAGCCUGUAUGCAAAGAAAAGAGUGUUCUUAUCUCUACAUCUUCCAUUGAAUUAUUAGAUUUGUAUUUGCACCCUAAGUUUUAAUAAAAAUGUACAGUAAUGUUGCUUUCUGGUAACAACUGUAUUCAUAUCACAAGAAUUAAAUGGGUUACAUUUAAAAUAUACAUGCCUAGAAUUUGUCUCUGUAACAUUACAAUAAACACUCUUUACCUUGUGCAACACUUUGCCUGUAAAAUACUCAGGCUGACACUGCAAAUUAGAUUUCUUUCAUUACUUGUUUCUUCUUCCUUCUGAGAAAGGAAUAGGGGAGAGAAGAAAAAUGUCUUGCCGUAUUAAAUAAAAAAAUAGCUACUACCUGCUACCACAUUUUACAAAUGAAGCCAAGGUAAGGAGAAUCAGUCUUCUAACUUUGACAGAGGGUGUUUUAUUAACAGCUGGUAUGCAAAUAUUAUAUAUAUAUAUAUAUAUAUAUAUAUAUAUAUAUAUAUAUAUAUUCGUCCAUUUUUUUAUUUUUACGAGAAAUGCAAGAAGUGAAGAAUGAGCAAAGCAAUCAUUUCCUUUGUCUGUCAACCCAGAGAGCACAAGCUUUAUUGGCAAUUAGAGAAAUCCGUCCAAAGGAAAACAUCUCUACCCUCCCAGCUUAUCUUCACAGAGUAACAAAGCCAGAGAAAAGCAAUUCAAUUAAAAGAAUGUGCAUUAAAAAUACAAUAACUGAUUUGCAUCAUAUAAAUGAUGCGGGAUUGAUGUCUUGUGCCUUUAAAUAACACAGCUCGAUUAUCCAGCCCUCCUUGAGGCUUUCGCCCAUUGCCCAAGCAAGCUUUUUCAGAUGCAAAUAUUGGUCACUUAUUGGGGUUUUAUUAGCGGCAAUGAAAAGGGAUGACAACAUGCAACGACAUCCGAUCAAUGUGCACUUUGUGCUACAAGAUCUGUAUUCAAACCGUCCAAUGGUUCAUUUUAGGAAUGGUAUCAAAGACUAAUAUGAGAUACAUGAGCUCAUUCCAGGGCGGGCAUUCGAUAUAGUUUUGAAGGGUCUGCAACUAUUUUGUCUCACUUCUAAGCAAAUCAAGGUGUCUGCCUCCAAGUUUGAACCCUGUGGCGUGAUUGCAAUAGGACCAAAACACUUCAUUAUAAGCGACAGAAACAUGGAUGGAUUUGGGAUAUUAGGGGAAAGAGGUGGAGCGGGGGGAGAGCCUCAGCUACAUCUAAGACAAUAAUAUCCCAAGGUGAUAUCUCUGAGAUUUCAGGAACCAGCAGACCUUACAGCAACUGCAUUUCAUCCCAUCACAUGUCAAGGAAAUAAGCAACUAUCUUACUGAAGGCAGUCCUGUUUAGGGAAGUUUUAAUGUCUGAAGUUUUAUCGCUUAUUAUUAUUAUUAUUAUUAUUAUUAUUAUUAUUAUUACUAAUUCUGUUCAGAGAGCCCCCCAGAGUGGCUGGAGAAACCAAGCCAGAUGGGCAGGGUAUAAAUAAAUUAUUAUUAUUAUUAUUAUUAUUAUUAUUAUUAUUAUUAUUAUUUUGUUCAAGGUUCUAGCCUGGGAGGCUGUGUGGUCUUUCAUACUCCAGGGCAUUUCAGAGAUUCCAGAGAUUUCAGUGCAGAACAACUAGGAGGAAACUAUGUCUUACUAAUGCAAUUGAAUUUUCCUACUAGCUAAUCAUUCUACCCUGGAAGGGUAGAGGGAUGUAGACUUGUGUACCCCUGUCAAUGUAUGUUUAACCCGCUGCCUCAGUGGUUCCCAGAGAUGGGUUGGCUGGCUCUCUUACUUAAACUUAUAUUGAUUUUUUAAAACUGAAUCAUUUCCCAAAACACAUCUGAUGCAGUUUGGCAGCUGUGGUUGUUACCACCCUUCUCUCUCUCAUUAAACACUGCCUAACAGGCACCAACGUCACAGAUAAAGCUUGCCCUCUUUGCAUCUCCAUGCUAGGAAAAGCUUCUUCUGUUGAAGUUUCAAAAUGUUUUACAGGAGGUAUCAAGAAGAUUUCUCCUGACUGUUCAUGUGGAGGGGGGUAGACUUGACUUUUUAGUAAUACCAGAAGCUACAUCUAAAUAUAUUGGGUAUGGUGUGUGUGUGUGUGAAUGUUUAGAAACAACAUAUGGAGGUUUUUCAGUAUGUGAGGCAGAACUCACUGCUUGUGGAUCUACACUGCGUUUUCACUCUCCCUUCAAAUGUUUCCUUUCCCAGUGUCCCUCCUGUCACCUGGUCAACGCUACAGAAAGUUUCGUUCUGAAGAAUUUGCUGACUAUGGUGCUACCAUAUUCUGAAGAUUUGGGUCAGACAAACCAUUCUAUCCCAGGGUCAUCUUCUGAAUUGAAAUGUAACCUUACCACUCAGGAAUACUAAAUUGCAAAUGCGGAUGAUAAUCAGCUGAGUUUGAGAGGAGACGAAUACAAAUGAAUGUGCAUUUUUUAAAGUAUUGGAAUUGAUUGGGGAUUACGAUUCUUAGUGGAUCAAAGAGAGUUUGAAUUCUUUGAACUUGCUUGCCUGGUGGAAGGUGAUCAUGUGGACUGCCCCAAAUACGCUGCGAAGAUACAGAAACCGUUCUUCGGUGCAAUCCUAGGUUGCAAUCCUGCACCUAGUUCUAUGUACCCAUUUAUGUUCAUGGCCCAAAUAUGGAUACCAGGGUAGAGAGGAUGGAGGAAGGCAACUGGGGUGGGAAGGAAAAGAAAUCUGGAACCUAUGGAGGGAAGAAGCAUAUAAUGUGACAACUAAAUGUCUCUAUCAGUUAACAGCAGGAAACACACCUUUAAUUUAUGAGACAUCCUUUUCAUUCCUCGUCUUGCGAAAAGGCUCAAAGGAGCAGUAGUUUUUGCAAUGCGUAUGCUAAGAAUGGUGUCUGCUUUGUUGCGAAACACUUCUUGUUCCUGAAGUCUCUUUAUUUGCUUGCACUGACUUUCCCUUUGCAUGAAGCGAGAUCCCAUAAUCCUGGAGAUCAAAGCGCUGUGAGUUUAUUGACUGAUUUCCUGGUGUCAUAGGUUAGAAUGUACUGUCAAACAAGGGGGAUAUUAAGAAAUUGAAAGGGUUACAAAUAUGAGAACAGGGGGAUAAAGGGCACACACUCAAGGAGACAUUUAACUCUGCUGUAAGUCAAAGUGAGUUUGAUAUAUAACUACUGUAGGCUGCUAAGAACUUGAACAAGAAAAGAAAAUCAUAUGUCAUCAUGGAAGUGUCUGCUGUCAAGGACGGUUCGUUAAUGUGUUGUGCAAUUAGAUUUUAUAAACAGUAAGGGGUCCCCGUCCCCCCGUAAAUGGGUUUAAUGAAAUAACUGGAACUAUUUAAACUGUAAGUUUGAAUAUAUACUUAUACACCACAUUCCGAGGGCUUGAGUAGGCAAGCUACGCUAAAACCAAAAUGCAUUAAAUAAAACUAAUGUAUAAAAUAUUGGUGUUAACCCAUUAAAACCCCAGAAUGCAAUUAGAAUUGCAAUUGUUGUUAGCCGCCCUGAGCCCAGCUUCGGUUGGGGAGGGCGGGAUAUAAAUAAAAUUUAUUAUUAUUAUUAUUAUUAGAAGUUAAAAUAACCUUAUGCUUGCUUAAGCACAGAAACAAACAAACAAAAACCUACUUUGCCAUAUCAGAUCAAGAUCCAUUUAGUUCCACAUUCUGGCUCCAAUCCAGAGAAAAUUAAUUGUGAUUAAUAACACAGUCUUAUGUGUGUUUAGGAGGUGUGUUUAGGAUUGCAGCUAAGUCCCACUGAAUUCAACCGGAGAUGCUAGAAAGGACUACCUUCAAGCGGCAGUUCUAUACUCACUUACCUGGGAGUAAGCCCCACUGAACAUACUGUAAUUAGACUUACUUCUGAGUAGACAUGUAUAGGGUUACACUGGCAGUCUCAGACUGUGUACACACUAUAUCUCUCAAGCACAUUCAAAGCACAGUUUGCUUCUCAAAGAAUUCAGUAAACUAUGGUGGUUUAAAUGUGUAGCAUGUACACAGCCUCAUUAGUUUCAAUGGGACUGAACUUACUGCUACUCCAAAUUUUGCAGCGCCAUUCUAGAGCUAUGCUUAUGAUCGCAAAAAAUAAUCAAGCCCCAAGCUUGAAACUAUGAGGACAAUUUCUGAUAAAAUCUCAGAGCUCCGAAGAGUAUCUGAACUCAAUGGUCAGUGCCUGGGUUUUAAUGAACCACAUAGCUCUGCUUCCCUCCCUAGGAUAAAUUAUAUAAAUAGGAGAAAUCAUGUAUAGGUUUCAGAAUCCACCUAUUCUUACCAUCAAAUUUAGGUUACUUUGGCUCAAAACCUUAAUCAUUGUUUAGCUCAUAUUACAAAGAGACCUUGCGCAUAUGUAUGUUCUAUAGUGACUUCAUAAAUAUUUACAAUUAAAAAUAUUCAGCGUGCACUUCAGAGUUCAGUGCAACACUUUGAGGUGAAGAAGAGGUUAAUAAUUGGAAAUUGGAAAUCUAGAAAUGCCAGAAGAACUUUAAUGCUUCUCACGUUGAUCGGUCUAGGCUUUUGGUGCAGAUUGAACUGGAUCCUGACUGAUAUGUAAAUACAUCCUUUCAAGGCUUUCUAUAGCCAUUAAUGAAAAAUUACAACAUGGGUACGGUAUCAUAAAUAUGUAUGCAAAUGAG
Non-coding RNA from Podarcis lilfordi (Lilford's wall lizard), 11303 nucleotides. Lineage: Eukaryota; Metazoa; Chordata; Lepidosauria; Squamata; Lacertidae. The record is from the annotation of a GenBank genome assembly.